AAUAACAAUAUAAUUUUACAAUGAAAGUGUAAUGUUUUUUUAAACUAUAUAAAUUAGAAAU
Molecule: transfer RNA, 61 nt
Filed under: Lycoprogenthes sp. 'Protaphes' UPOL A00531
Lineage: Eukaryota; Metazoa; Arthropoda; Insecta; Coleoptera; Lycidae
Description: tRNA-Gln
Source: RNAcentral